GGGCGCGUCGUCCAGCCCGGUUAGGACGCCGCUCUUACGAAGCGGUGGUCGCCGGUUCGAAUCCGGCCGCGCCCA
RNAcentral lists this transfer RNA (75 nucleotides) under archaeon. RNAcentral describes it as "tRNA-Val". It matches the Rfam family "tRNA". Rfam says of the family: Transfer RNA (tRNA) molecules are approximately 80 nucleotides in length. The record is from RNAcentral. RNAcentral also lists the same sequence under 2 other names.